UUCCUACGGGGCGCAGCAGUGAGGAAUAUUGGUCAAUGGGCGGGAGCCUGAACCAGCCAUGCCGCGUGAAGGCGAGUGCCCUACGGGCGUUAAACUUCUUUUGUGCGGGAGCAAUAAGGGCCACGUGUGGCCCGAUGAGAGUACCGCACGAAUAAGCAUCGGCUAACUCCGUGCCAGCAGCCGCGGUAAUACGGGGGAUGCGAGCGUUAUCCGGAUUUAUUGGGUGUAAAGGGCGUGUAGGCGGGAAAGCAAGUCAGAUGUGAAAACUCAGGGCUCAACCCUGAGCCUGCAUUUGAAACUGUUUU
This 305-nucleotide ribosomal RNA is filed under the name uncultured bacterium. Its description in RNAcentral is "bacterial SSU rRNA". It matches the Rfam family "Bacterial small subunit ribosomal RNA", at positions 336 to 639 of the family's 1533-position model. The record is from RNAcentral.